This 408-nucleotide ribosomal RNA is filed under the name uncultured bacterium. Its description in RNAcentral is "partial 16S ribosomal RNA". It matches the Rfam family "Bacterial small subunit ribosomal RNA", at positions 28 to 526 of the family's 1533-position model. The record is from RNAcentral.
GACGAACGCUGGCGGCGUGCUUAACACAUGCAAGUCGAACGAAGUGGCGAACGGGUGAGUAACGCGUAAUCAACCUGCCCUUCAGAGGGGGAAAACAGUUGGAAACGACUGCUAAUACCGCAUACUGAAGGAGGGGUUUGCGUCUGAUUAGCUGGUUGGGGGGGUAACGGCCCACCAGGGCGAUGAACAGUAGCCGGUCUGAGGAGAUGAACGGCCAACUGGGGACCGGGACAAGGGCCAGACUCCUACGGGAGGCAGGCGGGGGGAAUUGUCCGGAAUGGACGACAGUCUGGAGGAGCAACGCCGCGGGAGUGAUGACGGCCUUCGGGUUUUAAAGCUCUGUUAAUCGGGACGCGUUACCGGAAUAGAAAGCCACGGCUAACUACGUGCCAGCAGCCGCGGUAAUAC